GAUGAACGCUGGCGGCGUGCCUAAUACAUGCAAGUCGAGCGAACGGACGAGAAGCUUGCUUCUCUGAUGUUAGCGGCGGACGGGUGAGUAACACGUGGAUAACCUGCCUAGAAGACUGGGAUAACUUCGGGAAACCGGAGCUAAUACCGGAUAAUAUUUUGAACCGCAUGGUUCAAAAGUGAAAGACGGUCUUGCUGUCAUUUAUAAAUGCAUCCGCGCUGCAUUAGCUAGUGGGUAAGGUAAUGGCUUACCAAGGCAACGAUGAAUGACCGACCUGGGGGGGUGACGGCCCACCCUGGAACUGGGACACGGCCCGGACUCCUACGGGGGGCGCAAGUGGGGAAUUUUGGGAAAUGGGGGAAAGCCUGACGGAGCAAGGCCGCGUGAGUGAGGAGGGUCUUCGGAUCUAAAAACUCGUUUAUUGGGGAAGAACAUUUGUGUAAGGAAAUGUGCACAUCGUGACGGUACCUUAUCAGAAAGCCACGGCUAACUACGUG
This 497-nucleotide ribosomal RNA is filed under the name uncultured bacterium. RNAcentral describes it as "partial 16S ribosomal RNA". It matches the Rfam family "Bacterial small subunit ribosomal RNA", at positions 28 to 507 of the family's 1533-position model. The record is from RNAcentral.